RNAcentral lists this transfer-messenger RNA (355 nucleotides) under marine sediment metagenome. It matches the Rfam family "transfer-messenger RNA". From Rfam's summary of the family: Bacterial tmRNA, also known as 10Sa RNA or SsrA, is named for its dual tRNA and mRNA-like properties. Its role is to liberate the mRNA from a stalled ribosome. RNAcentral also lists the same sequence under 1 other name. The record is from RNAcentral.
GGGGGCGAUAGGUUUCGACUGAUUUGUAGGUGUAUAAGAUGCAUGUCGGGUUUGAGAAGUCCCGUAAACUUUCUCAAAACUUUUUAAGUGCCGAAGAUAAUUUAGCACUCGCAGCUUAAUCUAAGCUGCCGUCUGGCAUUAGGGUUGGCCCCAAGGGUCUCUUGUCGGGCGUAAACUUACUUGGGGUUAGCCGAAAAUCUGCCUUGUAUUUUCGGUGAAACUUUAAAGGAUAGGGAGAUGCCAAUGGAUUUGUUUGUGUUCCUCAACAUCUUCUGAACCAUUAAAACACGAACUAAGCAUGUAGACGCUUGUCACGUCUAGUUUCAGGACGCGGGUUCAAAUCCCGCCGCCUCCA